Molecule: long non-coding RNA, 936 nt
Organism: Sapajus apella (tufted capuchin)
Lineage: Eukaryota; Metazoa; Chordata; Mammalia; Primates; Cebidae
Exons: 3
Source: RefSeq, a predicted model, not a curated record
UGUGAUGUUUGCAUCUUAUCUGCUUCUGGGGAAGCCUCAGGAAGCUUACAGUCAUGGCGGAAAGCAAAGAGGGAGCAGGCACGUCACAUGUCAAAAUCGGAGUGAGAGAGAGAGACAGAGCCACACACUUUUAAAUAACUAACUCAGAGAGCUUGCUCAUCACUAAGGGGAUGGCUCAAGCUAUUCAUGAGGGUCCUCCCCCAUGAUCCAAACAUCUUCCACCAGGCCCCACCUUCAACUCUCACAUGCCUAUGUAUUAUAGCUUUCUGGUAAACUGAACGUUUUUUUCAUGUUAUAAUGACUCUCUUUUAUCUCUACUUGUACUUUUUUGCCAUGUUACUUUUUUAAGCUAGAAUUUAUCUGGCAUAUCAUUCUUCAUCUUUUUACUUUCAACUAGUCUCUGACCAUGUUUUGAGUGGGUCUCUUUGUUACUAAUAUGUUUUCCUGAAUACAUUCAGGAAACAGGCAGACAUUUCGAUAAACAGGUUACAAAAUCUCUAUUUUCUACUUUUCUUUGUCUUCUUUCUUUCUUUUAAUUGAAAUGAUUCAGAUCUUUGCCACCAUUCUACAUCUCCACUCUUAUUUCAUCUGUUAGCUUUACUGAUUUGGUACAUAUGCUACUUUGCUCUUUUAGUAAAUACUAUUGGUGUUGCUACAUGCACACAUAAUAAAGUUUGUAUUUCAUCAAUAACCAUGUUCUUUGACUGAACGGUGCUUUAGCUUUACUUUUAUUUGAUCUUAUAAGUUAUUUUAUAUAAUAUAUUGCUGUUUAGAUUCAUUUGUAUUUAUUAUUUAUUUAUUGUUUCUUUUUGCAUUCAGACCUUCUUUCUAGGGUCAUUUUCAUUCUUGAAGUAUAUCUUUUAGAAAUCCCUUUAGUAAGAUUUGAAUAAUAAGAACUCUUAUUCACUAAUUCACUCAAAGCAGUACAUAUUGUGU